This 492-nucleotide ribosomal RNA is filed under the name uncultured bacterium. Its description in RNAcentral is "partial 16S ribosomal RNA". It matches the Rfam family "Bacterial small subunit ribosomal RNA", at positions 29 to 507 of the family's 1533-position model. The record is from RNAcentral.
AAUGAACGCUGGCGGUGUGCCUAACACAUGCAAGUCGAACGGCAACACAGUAAGCUUGUUCCCUUACCGUUGGCGGCUGGCGGGCGGGUAACGCAUGCAUCGGAUUCUUCUUUUUCUUGGGUGACAUCGUGAAACCACUUAUGCUACUACCUCAUAUGUCCUACCGGAUAAUUCAGUAGUGCUUCGGACCUUUGCUGUCUCAUAUAGCUGAGGUCGCAUUAUCUAGGUGGCGUGGUAAAGGCCCACCAAAGCGACGAUCCGUUGCUGGUCUGACAUGAUGAUCAGCCACACUGGAACUGAGACAAGGUCCAGACUCCUACGGGAGGCAGCAGGGGGGAAUAUUGGACAAUGGGGGGAAGCCUGAACGAGCCAUACCGCGUGGGUGAAGAAGGGCUUCGGGUUGUAAAACCCUUUUGUUGGGAAAGAAAAGCAGCAGGUUAAAACCCCGCUGUUCUGACGGUACCCAAAGAAUAAGCACCGGCUAACUUCGUG